Long non-coding RNA from Planococcus citri (citrus mealybug), 1289 nucleotides. RefSeq lists it as uncharacterized. The record is from RefSeq and is a predicted model, not a curated record. The transcript is spliced from 4 exons. Lineage: Eukaryota; Metazoa; Arthropoda; Insecta; Hemiptera; Pseudococcidae.
GCGACGCAUUCCAGUAACGUACGCGAGUUGAGCUUUUACGUCCAUUCAAGUUGUGACUAGACUAGUUUUCUUUUGUUCGUUAACGGUUAAUGAAGUAUUUUUACUCCGAAUGCGAAUAAUUAUGGCGAUGUGUUUUAUUUUUCGUACAUUUCGGUUAAGUAAGUAAUAAUUUGAUGUAAAAAGUUCGUUAGUUAUUCGUAUGUGCCCUUGAGUGGGUGUAACGGUCGAUCAACUCUUUCGUCUCGGAAUGUACUUACCUACUACCUAGGCCUAACGGUUUUUUUAGUUUUUGGAAAUUAUUGUGCUUUCGUGUAUUGUGAUGUAUCGUCACCGUGUUUCUUUAAUAUUAUGUAUUAUUUUCGCGUUUGUUAGUUUUCAGUAAAUUGAGUAAAUUUUAAUUCGUCGAUUGUUUUUUUGGAUCAAGUGGUGUUCGACUCGUAUUUUAACGGUCAAAGUGCUUUUUGCUUACGUGUUGUCUGGUGUCCAACGGUCUGCCAUUUUGUUGCAGUUUUCAAUAAGUUCUCUGUUUACUCAGAUUUCUCGGUAAAUUCUCACGCCGCCCUGAUUUUUUGAGUCUUCGAGGACAGAAAACACUGCAGAAAUGCCACGAAGUAAAUAAAAACGCUGGUUAACCUGUACGAAUCCAAUCGAAUUGUUUUCCACUUAGUUAGCUCGGAUCAGCGAAUCAAACAGGUACUGCUUUCCACUUCUUGAUGUUUUCUAGAUGAAGUUCUGAUCAUCAUACGUACCUGAAGUUCUGGAAAAUUCAAACACUUAUUGUGAACUAUUGAAAAUCUCAAGAUAUUACUGGUCAAGAUUUGUAUCGUACUGAGUCCACCAAAUUUACGAAGAAUUAUUUUGAAAUUCAAAUCCAUACUUGAACGUACAAAUUCCAUACAUUUGCGAGUACGAGUGAUUAUAAAGUUAUUGCAAGUACCUGCUUGGCUGCUUAUAAUUGGUAAAAUUACGAGAAUUAUUUUAAGAAAAAUUUAACGAUCAUUGGUAAGUGAUUUUUUCUCACAAUUUUCUGUACUCGAACUUGCGGGUAUGUGCUUUCAUUUCGUAAUUCGUAGAUAAAAUUAACACCCUUUACCCAUUACAAAAUGUUCUGAUUUUUUAAAAGUUAUUUUUAUACUGAUGCAAAGUUUUUGAAAAAUUUCAUUCAAAAAUUGAAUUUUUUCUUUUUUAAAUCAAAGCACCUUUUUAGAUAUGAAGCAGGAAUUUCUAGAGCUGUAGAUAUACCUACGAUAGAUUUUAUGACGCUCCCUCCCCCAAAUUACCAAAAUCUU